AUAUUCUGCUUCUUUUCCCAGAGCUGUCAAAUCUCUGCUAUAUCAGUACUGGCUAAAUUAGGUGUUAAAUGAUUGAGCUUCAAGAUGGGCAAAUCAUGACUUCGGACUACAUUCCUCCUUGCCUGGCGGCUGGGAAAUUCCGUAAGCUCUGUGUGUUUCUAUCAGACUGCUCUUGAAGGCGGUGGCUCUCUGUGGAUCUCCGCAGAGCGCCAACGUUGGCUUAAAAAACCCCAAAGCUAGAUUAUCCAAAAGGUCCGCGCUGCUGCUAAGACUUCAGAUGAAAGACGCUCCGGGGACUCCGGACCUCCCUUACGACUUGGACCCGACUCCAGAGUGCAAUUAAGGGGCCGGCAAGUUGGGUAGCAGGCUGAGAGUGUCUAAAGGACACUAAAAUAUCUUUGGAAUAAUUCAGGCAUUUGUCUGGCCUUCCCUUUUACUGCUGGCUGGGAAGGAGGAGCAUCAGACCACAGAUCCUGGAAGGCACUUCUCUCCCUGACUGCUGCUCACACUGCCGUGAGAACCUGCUUAUAUCCAGGACCAAGGAGGCAAUGCCAGGAAGCUGGUGAAGGGUUUCCUCUCCU
This 581-nucleotide long non-coding RNA is filed under the name Homo sapiens (human). Its description in RNAcentral is "non-protein coding lnc-RBM23-4:2". Lineage: Eukaryota; Metazoa; Chordata; Mammalia; Primates; Hominidae. The record is from RNAcentral.